CAGUAACACGUGGAUAACCUACCCUUAGGACCGGAAUAACCCCGGGAAACUGGGGAUAAUACCGGAUAAAUCAUAGAUGCUGGAAUGCCCUAUGGUUCAAAGCUCCGGCGCCUAAGGAUGGAUCUGCGGUCUAUCAGGGUUGUAGUGGGUGUAACGUACCUACUAGCCGACGACGGAUACGGGUUGUGAGAGCAAGAGCCCGGAGAUGGAUUCUGAGACACGAAUCCAGGCCCUACGGGGUGCAGCAGGCGCGAACACUUUACAAUGCGGGAAACCGCGAUAAGGGAACCCCGAGUGCCAGCAUCAAAUGUUGGCUGUCCAGAUGAUUAAAAAUCAUUUGUUAGCAAGGGCCGGGCAAGACCGGUGCCAGCCGCCGCGGUAACACCGGCGGCCCGAGUGGUAGCCGUUUUUAUUGGGUCUAAAGGGUCCGUAGCCGGCUUGAUAAGUCUUUUGGGAAAUCUGGCAGCUUAACUGUCAGGCUUCUAAGGGAUACUGUCAGGCUUGGGACCGGAAGAGGUAAGGGGUACUCCAGGGGUAGGAGUGAAAGUCUUGUAC
Molecule: ribosomal RNA, 555 nt
Filed under: uncultured archaeon
Lineage: Archaea
Description: bacterial SSU rRNA
Rfam family: Archaeal small subunit ribosomal RNA
Source: RNAcentral